Long non-coding RNA from Epinephelus moara (kelp grouper), 519 nucleotides. RefSeq lists it as uncharacterized. NCBI's taxonomy places the organism in Eukaryota, Metazoa, Chordata, Actinopteri, Perciformes, Serranidae. The record is from RefSeq and is a predicted model, not a curated record. The transcript is spliced from 3 exons.
CUGGAGCCAUACUUCAAGGGAAGAAGCAAAGCCUCAAACUUGAGGAAGAUCUGUUUUGGCACCUCCAUGGACAAAUACGUUGAUAAGUACGCUGAUUUUGUGGCGUGCCCAGAGGGCACCACAAAAAUGCAACAAAACGCCGUGUCAAAGACCACAAGAACAAAAGUGUUCAUCAAAUAUAUGAUGCUGGGGUGGUCAUCCAUUAAAUACUGGACGUGGGAGUUUAUGGACAACGUCCUUAUUUUGAAGUCCUACCCUGCUCUUUUGAGAGCAUUUGGCCUGGCUCCCACCACAGUAGUCUUGUAUGUUGGCCAGGCCAUUUCUUUUGUGGAGUACAUGAGGGACAUCCCCCCCAAGUAUUCUUGAAUUUCCAGCCAGACGUUGUCCCUCAUCUUCAGGGAGCUAAAAAAAAUCUACAGGGACACUGGCCGCACUGUCCUUGGUCACCAGUUUCUCGUAAAACAACAAAAACAGCAGAGACUGGUGGCCAAGGCAGACCUGGCCAAAUGUCAGGCCUUG